Molecule: ribosomal RNA, 430 nt
Filed under: Pseudomonadota bacterium
Lineage: Bacteria; Pseudomonadati; Pseudomonadota
Description: Proteobacteria bacterium partial 16S ribosomal RNA
Rfam family: Bacterial small subunit ribosomal RNA
Source: RNAcentral
UGGGGAAUAUUGGACAAUGGGGGGAACCCUGAUCCAGCCAUGCCGCGUGUGUGAAGAAGGCCUUAUGGUUGUAAAGCACUUUAAGCGAGGAGGAGGGUACUGGUAUUAAUACUACCAGGUACUGGACGUUACUCGCAGAAUAAGCACCGGCUAACUCUGUGCCAGCAGCCGCGGUAAUACAGAGGGUGCGAGCGUUAAUCGGAUUUACUGGGCGUAAAGCGUGCGUAGGCGGCUAAUUGAGUCGGAUGUGAAAUCCCCGAGCUUAACUUGGGAAUUGCAUUCGAUACUGGUUAGCUAGAGUGUGGGAGAGGAUGGUAGAAUUCCAGGUGUAGCGGUGAAAUGCGUAGAGAUCUGGAGGAAUACCGAUGGCGAAGUCAGCCAUCUGGCCUAACACUGACGCUGAGGUACGAAGGCAUGGGGAGCAAACAGG